UCCUCGUGCCCAGGUCUCGGUUUCUAAACGGCAGCCGCCACCACGCGCUCUUCUGGGAAACGGCCGGUCCCGGGCUGGACCCGCUGCGCUCGGGAGGAGCCUAGAACGUGUGUCCCGGUCAGGAGAGAAGCAGCGCUCAAAGAACGGUGGAGACGCACCAGAAGGGCGCAGAAGUCAGCCGGAAGGGCCACCAGAUGUGGGACCAGGAUAAAACAGAGAACCGCGACUCCACACCGGUUCUACAGUUUUCUUUCCUUCCCUGUCUCACUGAGCCGACCAGCGUCUUCACUGCCACGUGACGGGGCAGUGCCAAGACCUGAUGUCCUCUGAGUUCUCCUUGAUUUCAAGAGACUGUUUUUAAUGUUUUACCAUUACGUUUAAGGUGUGCUGUUGUUUUGAUUGAUUUUUAAAAUAAAUUGUCUUCGUUAUGCUAA
Molecule: long non-coding RNA, 434 nt
Organism: Microcebus murinus (gray mouse lemur)
Lineage: Eukaryota; Metazoa; Chordata; Mammalia; Primates; Cheirogaleidae
Source: RefSeq, a predicted model, not a curated record